This 500-nucleotide ribosomal RNA is filed under the name uncultured bacterium. RNAcentral describes it as "partial 16S ribosomal RNA". It matches the Rfam family "Bacterial small subunit ribosomal RNA", at positions 30 to 523 of the family's 1533-position model. The record is from RNAcentral.
AUUGAACGCUGGCGGCAUGCCUUACACAUGCAAGUCGAACGGUAACGGGUCCUUCGGGAUGCCGACGAGUGGCGAACGGGUGAGUAAUAUAUCGGAACGUGCCCAGUAGUGGGGGAUAACUGCUCGAAAGAGCAGCUAAUACCGCAUACGACCUGAGGGUGAAAGGGGGGGAUCGCAAGACCUCUCGGCAUUGGAGGGGCCGAUAUCAGAUUAGCUCGUUGGUGGGGUAAAGGCCUACCAAGGCAACGAUCUGUAGUUGGUCUGAGAGGACGACCAGCCACACUGGGACUGAGACACGGCCCAGACUCCUACGGGAGGCAGCAGUGGGGAAUUUUGGACAAUGGGCGCAAGCCUGAUCCAGCAAUGCCGCGUGCAGGAAGAAGGCCUUCGGGUUGUAAACUGCUUUUGUCAGGGAAGAAAUCUUCUGGGCUAAUACCCCGGGAGGAUGACGGUACCUGAAGAAUAAGCACCGGCUAACUACGUGCCAGCAGCCGCCGUAA